RNAcentral lists this small nucleolar RNA (107 nucleotides) under Theobroma cacao (cacao). RNAcentral's name for it is "Plant small nucleolar RNA R71". It matches the Rfam family "Plant small nucleolar RNA R71". From Rfam's summary of the family: R71 is a member of the C/D box family of snoRNAs containing the C (UGAUGA) and D (CUGA) box motifs. Multiple nearly identical copies of this snoRNA have been identified in Arabidopsis, and it is thought to function as a 2'-O-ribose methylation guide for 18S ribosomal RNA. The record is from Rfam by way of RNAcentral. Lineage: Eukaryota; Viridiplantae; Streptophyta; Magnoliopsida; Malvales; Malvaceae.
AAACCAUGAUAAGGACAAUGUCGAAGUAAUUCUUUUUAUCUUUCCCAAGCCUCGUACAACAAUUUAGAAUCUUGCUGCAUGAAUGAUGUGAUAUCAUUCCUCAUUUU